AAUCAACGCUGGCGGCGUGCCUCAGACAUGCAAGUCGAACGAUUAAAGCUCUCUUCGGAGAGUGCAUAGAGUGGCGCACGGGUGAGUAACACGUAAGUAAUCUACCUUCGAGUGGGGAAUAACGUCCGGAAACGGACGCUAAUACCGCAUAAUGCAGCGGCAUCGUAAGAUGACAGUUGUUAAAGAUUUAUCGCUUGAAGAGGAGCUUGCGGCAGAUUAGCUAGUUGGUAAGGUAAUGGCUUACCAAGGCUACGAUCUGUAACCGGUCUUAGAGGACGGUCGGUCACACUGACACUGAAUAACGGGUCAGACUCCUACGGGAGGCAGCAGUCGGGAAUUUUGGGCAAUGGGCGAAAGCCUGACCCAGCAACGCCGCGUGAAGGAUGAAGUAUUUCGGUAUGUAAACUUCGAAAGAAUAGGAAGAAUAAAUGACGGUACUAUUUAUAAGGUUCCGGCUAACUACGUGCCAGCAGCCGCGGU
RNAcentral lists this ribosomal RNA (480 nucleotides) under uncultured bacterium. RNAcentral's name for it is "bacterial SSU rRNA". It matches the Rfam family "Bacterial small subunit ribosomal RNA", at positions 32 to 521 of the family's 1533-position model. The record is from RNAcentral.